UCAACCUACUCUUCUUCUAAUGAGAUGGUUCUGGAAAAUGUAAAGUUGGUUCAGCUGCACCUUCAGUACCUCAUACCACUGGAUCCCGUCCCUGGCUGACCCUACUAUGGCACUUGAGCCAUUGUAGCCUCCUCUCAGACAGCCUAAAGCAAAACAUCACCGGUCUUUCUUGUUCUCAUCACUAACCAAAGCUUUGCGAUCGGGAGAUCAGCUUCUGCCACAUUAUGAACAAAUGUGCUUCCAACUUUCAGCUCCUCCUGAGUCUCUCAUUUCCACUGAAGUUUAUGGGAGGAAAGAAAUGCAGAGCUCAUGGGACGAGUGCAUUCCUGGUUCAGCUUCACCGAGACCAGAAGAGUUAACACGAGGAUGUGGUUUGGCCCCCUGGGUCGGAGCGUGACAGAUAACGCAGCCAUCGAUUUU
Molecule: long non-coding RNA, 420 nt
Filed under: Struthio camelus australis
Lineage: Eukaryota; Metazoa; Chordata; Aves; Struthioniformes; Struthionidae
Description: lncRNA (ENSSCUG00000009178.1)
Source: RNAcentral